RNAcentral lists this long non-coding RNA (803 nucleotides) under Ananas comosus (pineapple). RNAcentral describes it as "long non-coding RNA (ACOM_LNC028750)". Lineage: Eukaryota; Viridiplantae; Streptophyta; Magnoliopsida; Poales; Bromeliaceae. The record is from RNAcentral.
AAAAAAAAGAAUAGGCAUGAAAAUUGAUAAAAUAAAUAUAAAGUAGGAAGGAUUAAUAGUGCAACGUUCUUUUAAAUAAUCUGAUAAAUAUUCAAAUUGCACAAACUAUUUCGAGCCUAAAUUUUGAAUACCCAUCAACUUAUCGAACAUGGCAUGCUCUAGAGACCCAACGAAUUAUUAGUGCUAACUGGCUGAACCGUUACGGAUAUAUUUAAUAUGAUUGAAAUAACAUCUCUUCAUUUUACCAAAGAAAAAGCGAAAAUGAUAAAAGCAUUUGGGAAUGAUAUGUUAUAAGUACUAUGCAACAUUUUGUGUAGGUUUAUGUGCAUUAAAACUAGGGAUGUCAACGGGUCGGAUUCUCGGAGGGUUUUCAAAAAUUCGAACCCGAAUUCAUCUACCAAACUCAAAAUUCUGAAUCAAAAUCAGACGAAUUUUAUGAGACAAAUUUCGAAACACGAAUCCUAACCCGAAAACCCGAAUAUGAAACAAUUAUUUAUCUUCACCAUAUUUCAAAACAUAUUAUAUUAAAUCUAAAUUUUCAAAAUACAAAUUCAUAUAACAUCAAGCAUUUAUAUAUAUAAUAUAAAGUCAAUUCAGGUUCAGGUCAGGUUCAAGUUCCGGUCAGGUACAGAUAAAAUCCAUAUUCAAAUUCAAAUUCAUCAAAUUUUUACUUUUAAUAUCUGUAUCUGAAACUAAAUUUGUUUAGCAUCAAAUAAAUCCGCUCUGUUUGGAUUCAGAUUCAAAUAAAAUUUAGGUACUUGUACCUAUUCACACAUCCCUAUUUUUGACACAUUGAAUGCUUU